GUUUAUGGCAUGAACCCAGCAUAUAGUAAUUAAAUUUUCAGCAAGUUUUGUUUGUUUUGAGACUGGAGUGCAAUGGCAUGACCUUAACUCACUACAGUCCUGACUUCCUUGGGCUCAAGCAAUCCUCCCACCCAAGCCUCCUGAGUAGCUAGGAUUACAGGCAUGCACCACCAUGCCCAACUAAUUUUUUUUUCUUUUUUGUAGAGAUGCGGUCUCAGUAUGUUGUCCAGGCUGAUCUCAGAUCCUUGGCCUCAAAGGAUCCUCCUGUCUGGGUCUCUCAAACUGCUGGGAAUACAAGCAUGAGCCACCACAGCUGACGAACAGCUAUUUUUGAAUAAAGUAAAGGAAGAGAGGGAGGGAGAGAAGAAGGAAGAAGAAAAAAAAGAAAAGAAGUGAAGGAGGGUUAACUACAGCCAAAGAAAAAGAAGCAGCCCAACAGAGAGCUCAGGAAAAUUACACUUCAUACAUCCAACUGCUAUGGAAGAGGAUGGAGGUGAGAAGCGGAGGGAGAAAGAAGGAUGUGAUAUUCCAUCCCCAUUAAGAAAAUUUUUCAAGCCCCCAAUCUGAACCUACUGAAUCAGAAUUUGAGGAGAUGAGACCUGUAUACCUAGAUUUUCAAAAGACUCUCAACUCUAUCCACUCUCAUCACUUCUAUUUAACAUUAUACUGGAGGUCCUGGCCAGGGAAGUAAGGCAAGUAAAAAAAAAUUC
Molecule: long non-coding RNA, 710 nt
Filed under: Homo sapiens (human)
Lineage: Eukaryota; Metazoa; Chordata; Mammalia; Primates; Hominidae
Description: HSALNT0101517
Source: RNAcentral